Molecule: long non-coding RNA, 434 nt
Organism: Esox lucius (northern pike)
Lineage: Eukaryota; Metazoa; Chordata; Actinopteri; Esociformes; Esocidae
Source: Ensembl
AGCGAUUCUCUAGUUAGCGAACGCUGCUAGCGAGUUUACACCUUUUCCUUCGGUCGACAAGUUCUCGUGUUCGUGGUUUCAGUCAGAGGGUUGGCGUGAACUCAUUGGUGGGACCUGUGGAAUAUUCAGACUGGAGCCUGAUAGACUGGGGCCUGUUGGUAGCUAGAACACGUUCUUCCUGAAAUCUUCAUCCCCAUCACAGUGGAGGACAGGAAUUUCUGUCAGCUGAAAGAUACCUGUCAUUCUAUGAACUAGGUUCCACAUCUUUUGUAAGGGCGUACCCGGGCCUAAUUUAUUACAGAACGUCUUCCAGCUUUGCUUCUUUGCUUCCUUAAUUACACAUCUGGCCUUUGCCCUAAGCCUCUUAUAUUCAACAGCCCAAUUCUCUAAUAGAUGUUUCCGUAAAUUUUUAUAUGCCCGAUUCCUAUCCCGGA